RNAcentral lists this small RNA (517 nucleotides) under Trichocladium griseum. RNAcentral describes it as "sequence contains 18S rRNA gene, ITS1, 5.8S rRNA gene, ITS2, 28S rRNA gene". The stretch from base 194 to 347 matches the Rfam family "5.8S ribosomal RNA". Lineage: Eukaryota; Fungi; Ascomycota; Sordariomycetes; Sordariales; Chaetomiaceae. The record is from RNAcentral.
UUCCGUAGGUGAACCUGCGGAGGGAUCAUUAAAGAGUUGCAAAACUCCCAAACCAUUGUGAACAUACCUUCAACGUUGCUUCGGCGGGUUGGCCCCGGUCUCCGGGGUCCCCGGCCCUACUCGGGCGCCCGCCGGAGGUAUCUAACUCUUGAACUUUUAUGGCCUCUCUGAGUCUUUGUACUUAAUAAGUCAAAACUUUCAACAACGGAUCUCUUGGUUCUGGCAUCGAUGAAGAACGCAGCGAAAUGCGAUAAGUAAUGUGAAUUGCAGAAUUCAGUGAAUCAUCGAAUCUUUGAACGCACAUUGCGCCCGCCAGUAUUCUGGCGGGCAUGCCUGUUCGAGCGUCAUUUCAACCAUCAAGCCCCCGGCUUGUGUUGGGGACCUGCGGCUGCCGCAGGCCCUGAAAACCAGUGGCGGGCUCGCUAGUCACUCCGAGCGUAGUAAUACAUCUCGCUCAGGGCGUGCUGCGGGUUCCGGCCGUUAAAAAGCCUUAUUUACCCAAGGUUGACCUCGGAUC